RNAcentral lists this ribosomal RNA (1391 nucleotides) under alpha proteobacterium IMCC10400. RNAcentral describes it as "bacterial SSU rRNA". It matches the Rfam family "Bacterial small subunit ribosomal RNA". Lineage: Bacteria; Pseudomonadati; Pseudomonadota; Alphaproteobacteria. The record is from RNAcentral.
GGCACGCCUAACACAUGCAAGUCGAACGAAGUAGCAAUACUUAGUGGCAGACGGGUGAGUAACAUGUGGGUAUCUGCCCUUUGGCCUGGAAUAACACGAGGAAACUUGUGCUAAUACCGGAUAAGUCUUUACGGAGAAAGCUUUAUGCACCAUUGGAUGAGCCCGCACUUGAUUAGUUUGUUGGUGGGGUAAUGGCCUACCAAGACUUUGAUCAAUAGCUGAUUUGAGAGGAUGAUCAGCCACAUUGGGACUGAGACACGGCCCAAACUCCUACGGGAGGCAGCAGUGGGGAAUCUUGCACAAUGGAGGAAACUCUGAUGCAGCGAUGCCGCGUGAGUGAAGAAGGCCCUUGGGUUGUAAAGCUCUUUCGUCGGGGAAGAAAAUGACUGUACCCGAAUAAGAAGGUCCGGCUAACUUCGUGCCAGCAGCCGCGGUAAUACGAAGGGACCUAGCGUAGUUCGGAAUUACUGGGCUUAAAGAGUUCGUAGGUGGUUGAAAAAGUUAGUGGUGAAAUCCCAGAGCUUAACUCUGGAACUGCCAUUAAAACUUUUCAGCUAGAGUAUGAUAGAGGAAAGCAGAAUUUCUAGUGUAGAGGUGAAAUUCGUAGAUAUUAGAAAGAAUACCAAUUGCGAAGGCAGCUUUCUGGAUCAUUACUGACACUGAGGAACGAAAGCAUGGGUAGCGAAGAGGAUUAGAUACCCUCGUAGUCCAUGCCGUAAACGAUGUGUGUUAGACGUUGGAAAUUUAUUUUCAGUGUCGCAGCGAAAGCGAUAAACACACCGCCUGGGGAGUACGACCGCAAGGUUAAAACUCAAAUGAAUUGACGGGGACCCGCACAAGUAGUGGAGCAUGUGGUUUAAUUCGAAGAUACGCGCAGAACCUUACCAACACUUGACAUGUUCGUCGCGACUCUAAGAGAUUAGAGUUUUCGGUUCGGCCGGACGAAACACAGGUGCUGCAUGGCUGUCGUCAGCUCGUGUCGUGAGAUGUUGGGUUAAGUCCCGCAACGAGCGCAACCCUCACUUUUAGUUGCCAUCAUUAAGUUGGGCACUCUGAAAGAACUGCCAGUGAUAAGCUGGAGGAAGGUGGGGAUGACGUCAAGUCCUCAUGGCCCUUACGUGUUGGGCUACACACGUGCUACAAUGGUAUCUACAACAGGAAGCAAGACUGCGAGGUCAAGCAAAUCCUUAAAAGAUACCUCAGUUCGGAUUGCACUCUGCAACUCGAGUGCAUGAAGCUGGAAUUACUAGUAAUCGUGGAUCAGCGUGCCACGGUGAAUGCGUUCCCGGGUCUUGUACACACCGCCCGUCACACCAUGGGAGUUGGUUCUACCUUAAGGCAAGGUUUCAAACCCUUGACCACGGUAUAGUCAGCGACUGGGGUGAAGUCGA